UUGGCAUCGGCUGCAGCCUGGAGCUAGCGUGACGCGUGAGUGAGAAGGUCUUCGGGUUGUAAAGCUCUUUUUCCAGGGAUGAUAAUGACUGUACCGGGAGAAUAAGCCCCGGCUAACUCCGUGCCAGCAGCCGCGGUAAUAAGCCGGGGGCUAAGGUAAUAUAAUAUCCCCCAGCCCGUUCG
Molecule: ribosomal RNA, 182 nt
Filed under: uncultured Pseudomonadota bacterium
Lineage: Bacteria; Pseudomonadati; Pseudomonadota
Description: uncultured proteobacterium partial 16S ribosomal RNA
Rfam family: Bacterial small subunit ribosomal RNA (bases 1-157)
Source: RNAcentral